Molecule: unclassified non-coding RNA, 309 nt
Filed under: Trichoderma sp.
Lineage: Eukaryota; Fungi; Ascomycota; Sordariomycetes; Hypocreales; Hypocreaceae
Description: partial contains 5.8S ribosomal RNA, internal transcribed spacer 2, and large subunit ribosomal RNA
Rfam family: 5.8S ribosomal RNA (bases 1-71)
Source: RNAcentral
GUGAAUCAUCGAAUCUUUGAACGCACAUUGCGCCCGCCAGUAUUCUGGCGGGCAUGCCUGUCCGAGCGUCAUUUCAACCCUCGAACCCCUCCGGGGGGUCGGCGUUGGGGACUUCGGGAACCCCUAAGACGGGAUCCCGGCCCCGAAAUACAGUGGCGGUCUCGCCGCAGCCUCUCAUGCGCAGUAGUUUGCACAACUCGCACCGGGAGCGCGGCGCGUCCACGUCCGUAAAACACCCAACUUCUGAAAUGUUGACCUCGGAUCAGGUAGGAAUACCCGCUGAACUUAAGCAUAUCAAUAAGCGGAGGA